Molecule: ribosomal RNA, 251 nt
Filed under: uncultured bacterium
Lineage: Bacteria
Description: partial 16S ribosomal RNA
Rfam family: Bacterial small subunit ribosomal RNA
Source: RNAcentral
GGGUGAGUAACGCGUAGGUAAUCUACCCCCGUAUAAUUUGGGGAUAAACCUUGCGAAAGUGGGGCUAAUACCGAAUACCCUUUUAUUGAUGCGAGUCAAUGGGGAGGAAAGGAGGCCUCUUGUUAAAGCUUCCGUAUAGGGAUGAGCCUGCGUACCAUUAGCUAGUAGGUGGGGUAAAGGCCUACCUAGGCAACGAUGGUUAGCGGGUCUGAGAGGAUGAUCCGCCACACUGGAACUGGAACACGGACCAG